Molecule: ribosomal RNA, 368 nt
Filed under: uncultured organism
Description: bacterial SSU rRNA
Rfam family: Bacterial small subunit ribosomal RNA
Source: RNAcentral
CGUAGGUGGCAAGCGUUGUCCGGAUUUAUUGGGUUUAAAGGGUGCGUAGGCGGUUCCAUAAGUCAGUGGUGAAAUACAAUAGCUUAACUAUUGAGGUGCCAUUGAUACUGCGGAACUUGAGUACAGACGAGGUAGGCGGAAUUGACGGUGUAGCGGUGAAAUGCUUAGAUAUCGUCAAGAACACCGAUAGCGAAGGCAGCUUACUAGACUGUAACUGACGCUGAGGCACGAAAGUGUGGGGAUCAAACAGGAUUAGAUACCCUGGUAGUCCGCACUGUAAACGAUGAUUACUCGAUGUUGGCGAUACACAGCCAGCGUCUUAGCAAAAGCGAUAAGUAAUCCACCUGGGGAGUACGCCGGCAACGGUG